Molecule: ribosomal RNA, 643 nt
Filed under: uncultured bacterium
Lineage: Bacteria
Description: bacterial SSU rRNA
Rfam family: Bacterial small subunit ribosomal RNA
Source: RNAcentral
CAAAGGAAGCGAUUCCGGCGGGGGAUGGGCAUGCGGCGCAUUAGCUAGUCGGCGGGGUGACGGCCCACCGAGGCGACGAUGCGUAGGGGUUCUGAGAGGAAGGUCCCCCACACUGGUACUGAGACACGGACCAGACUCCUACGGGAGGCAGCAGUGAGGAAUAUUGGUCAAUGGGCGGGAGCCUGAACCAGCCAAGUCGCGUGAGGGAAGACGGUCCUAUGGAUUGUAAACCUCUUUUGCCGGGGAGCAACGGGGUCCUUGCGAGGGCCUGAUGAGAGUACCCGGAGAAAAAGCAUCGGCUAACUCCGUGCCAGCAGCCGCGGUAAUACGGAGGAUGCGAGCGUUAUCCGGAUUUAUUGGGUUUAAAGGGUGCGUAGGCGGGCUGUUAAGUCAGCGGUCAAAUGUCGGGGCUCAACCCCGGCCUGCCGUUGAAACUGGUGGCCUCGAGUGGGCGAGAAGUAUGCGGAAUGCGUGGUGUAGCGGUGAAAUGCAUAGAUAUCACGCAGAACUCCGAUUGCGAAGGCAGCAUACCGGCGCCCGACUGACGCUGAGGCACGAAAGCGUGGGUAUCGAACAGGAUUAGAUACCCUGGUAGUCCACGCAGUAAACGAUGAAUGCUAGCUGUCCGGGGCUUCGGUCCUGG